RNAcentral lists this ribosomal RNA (837 nucleotides) under uncultured archaeon. RNAcentral describes it as "bacterial SSU rRNA". It matches the Rfam family "Archaeal small subunit ribosomal RNA", at positions 21 to 859 of the family's 1478-position model. The record is from RNAcentral.
GGUUACUGCUAUCGGUGUUCGCCUAAGCCAUGCGAGUCAUAUGUUCGUAAGAACAUGGCGUACUGCUCAGUAACACGUGGAUAACCUGCCCUUGGGUCCGGCAUAACCCCGGGAAACUGGGGAUAAUUCCGGAUAACGCACAUAUGCUGGAAUGCUUUAUGCGUAAAAUGGAUUCGUCUGCCCAAGGAUGGGUCUGCGGCCUAUCAGGUAGUAGUGGGUGUAAUGUACCUACUAGCCUACGACGGGUACGGGUUGUGAGAGCAAGAGCCCGGAGAUGGAUUCUGAGACAUGAAUCCAGGCCCUACGGGGCGCAGCAGGCGCGAAAACUUUACAAUGCGGGAAACCGUGAUAAGGGGACACCGAGUGCCAGCAUCCUAUGCUGGCUGUCCGGGUGUGUAAAAUACACCUGUUAGCAAGGGCCGGGCAAGACCGGUGCCAGCCGCCGCGGUAACACCGGCGGCCCGAGUGGUGAUCGUGAUUAUUGGGUCUAAAGGGUCCGUAGCCGGUUUGGUCAGUCCUCCGGGAAAUCUGACGGCUUAACCGUUAGGCUUUCGGGGGAUACUGCCAGACUUGGAACCGGGAGAGGUAAGAGGUACUACAGGGGUAGGAGUGAAAUCUUGUAAUCCCUGUGGGACCACCUGUGGCGAAGGCGUCUUACCAGAACGGGUUCGACGGUGAGGGUCGAAAGCUGGGGGCACGAACCGGAUUAGAUACCCGGGUAGUCCCAGCCGUAAACGAUGCUCGCUAGGUGUCAGGCAUGGCGCGACCGUGUCUGGUGCCGCAGGGAAGCCGUGAAGCGAGCCACCUGGGAAGUACGGCCGCAAGGCUGAAACUUAA